This 253-nucleotide ribosomal RNA is filed under the name uncultured bacterium. RNAcentral's name for it is "partial 16S ribosomal RNA". It matches the Rfam family "Bacterial small subunit ribosomal RNA", at positions 524 to 776 of the family's 1533-position model. The record is from RNAcentral.
UACGGGGGGGGCAAGCGUUGUUCGGAAUUACUGGGCGUAAAGGGCUCGUAGGCGGCCAACUAAGUCAGACGUGAAAUCCCUCGGCUUAACCGGGGAACUGCGUCUGAUACUGGAUGGCUUGAGUUCGGGAGAGGGAUGCGGAAUUCCAGGUGGAGCGGUGAAAUGCGUAGAGAUCAGGCGGAACACCCGUAGCGAAGGCGGCCAGCUGGGCCGUCCCUGACACUGAGGCGCGAAGGCGUGGGGAGCGAACGGG